CUCCGGAUUUCCCUCAGUACCUAGUGGCAGGAGCUCCCUAAGCAUUAGUUCCUGCUGGCAAGUGUAUGGCCUCACACUGUACAGUUUGUCAGAGAUAAGGCAGGAUGUAAAAAGCCCAGGCGCCUAAUGCUGCUCAUGGCUCCUCCUUUUUAGCAUGUAGCUCACUCACUUAGUUCAGGGAGAAAAUGCUGUUCCUCGGCUGCACCUCCCCCAAAGGAGCAGCUCUGGUGGUUUCUCUUUAAUUCAUGCAUCCUGGUGGAAGCCUGGCUCCCGAUGGCUCAGCACAGGGCCUUCCACCCAUAGAACGCAGACAGAAGUGGCUCUGUUUCGGGCUCCACCGCGGGAGGAGGAGUUUUCAUUCAGACUUUCGGAGGAGGUGGAGAUACCGAGAGCCUCACCAGAAAAGGUCCCCGGAGCCAGCCGGGGAUUCAGUCCUUUUCCUGCUCCUGCAUCGCCAUGGACCUGCCUUCCUCUCCCAGAGCCCCAAUUUCAACUCCCUCUUUGUAGAAAGGAGGAAGCUGGAGCCCAGGGAGGGAGAGGCCAAAGACCUGCCUGUAUUCAGGACCCGGCUCAAGUGAGAAUUUGGAAGCAGAGGCUGGAGGACCACCUGCUGAGAGAGGAGGGCCUUGUGCCAAGGAGUAGAUGAACUAGGUGACCACCUUGCAAUUCUCGAUGGGUGCCGUGGUUGGGGUUGUGAAAGCUCGCAUCUCAGUGGGAAGGCCUAGGCAGGAAGAUGGAGAUGGAGUGGAAAGUGGCAACACAUGGAUGGGAAAAGCAUGUUGAGAAGUGAUCAGAACUGGGCAAAGGGGAAAAGCAGAGGAUGGAAACAAGGGGCUUAAUGAAUACAGUUCCCUACCUCUUCUUCUAUUGAGUUUUCAUUCUUUGGUGUAUAGAGGCAACUGAUCCUGCUCAUGCCUCAUGCCCCUUCUUACUCUUCGGUGAUGGUCUUGCCUAUGUGAUCUCAUUCUAUCUAUCACUCUCUCUCUCUCUCUCUCUCUCUCUCUCUCUCUCAAUGGCUAAG
Molecule: long non-coding RNA, 1021 nt
Filed under: Monodelphis domestica (gray short-tailed opossum)
Lineage: Eukaryota; Metazoa; Chordata; Mammalia; Didelphimorphia; Didelphidae
Description: lncRNA (ENSMODG00000029849.2)
Source: RNAcentral